ACACCGUCGCGCGGCAUCUUCACCGCCGCCGCCCCGUUUUUCCCCUCGAUGCUAGCCUCGGUGGGUUUGAUGGGUUAAAACUGGAAACCAGCUGAACCCCGCUUGCUUCAUCCGGGUCCGCGCGGGUCAGGGUCCAACCCGCGCUAGGAACCGGAAUGAUAGGUCUAGCAGGGUUGGGUGCGGGCUGGUUCCCGGUUUCCCUGAACCCAUGAACAGGGCUACUUGUGGUUCUCUUUCGAGAGUCCCCUUCUGCAGCUGAUUUGUACCUUCUCUCCCUUGGUCGACCUGGUGCCCUUUUCAGAAGUGGAGGCCACAACUUGAACCCAGGAUUAACUUGAGGCCACUGUUUACUAUCUGUCAUUGGCUUCACGGACUUUUCAUAGGCUUUCUUGAACUUUGCCACAGAAUAGUAGUCAUGAACAUAGUCUUCAAUAUUACCUUGAAUUGAGGUUAUAAUACACAAGGCAUGUGUCCAUGGCAGACCAGUAACUUGCCAGCGCCUACAGGUAUGCUUCCUCUCCUGAAGAUCAACGGUAUGCCUCCAAUGAACUAGAUCUCUUGUAACACCUUCAACUUCACCUAACAUUUCACCUUAUUUCAGCCCUCUGCUCCUUGCAUUAAGGUCCUUCAUCACAUUUGGCAGUAUCUUAUCUUCAAUUCUUAGCAAUUUUUCUUCUUAAGAACAUUUUCUCCAUGCAUAAUUGUCUGAUCCUAUCCAAUAAGAUCAACAACAUGCAGGGAUUUUUUCAUGCCUAAUCCAGCUGUUGAAUGUUUCAGCUAUGUUAUUUGUGUACCAAUGUCAACAAGCAAAUCAUUCCAAUUUGUGCUAUUCCUGUCUAAAAUCCUUGGAAUGUUGCAAGCAUCACAAUACAUACGAGUGCCAUCAUCACUUAGUUUCACGUAAGCACCUACACGCAUAGCAAGUCUGUAGGCUGAACUGGCAUCCAUCCUAAACAGACAUUGGCACAAAUUCGAGUGGAAUAAACACACAGUUAGCUUUACUUCAUUUGCAAAUACGAGCUCAAGUUAGCACAAGAAAUUGGAAGACCACUUACCCAUCAGGAACCCAUGAGAGAUCAGCCUGAUCCUGCGGGAAAAUCUCGUUGAGGAAUCGUGGGGGUCUCCAUCUUCUAUCCUCAGCCAACCGUGCUUGUUCUUCAAGAGGGGCUGCGCGCGGGGCGUCGGUGGGUGUCGCAGCAGCCUACGACGUGCGGGGAGGGGCCGCGCACGUCCAUGGUGGCCAGCGCACCGCCGGAAUGGGCCACCUUGUUCAGCCAAUGAAACAAGAAGAGAUAGAAGGCCACCUUGUUCAGCCUGGAUGGAUCGGGAGUGGGGAUUGACCCGUCGCCGACGAGCUCCACGGUGAGAAGUGGCGGCGAGUCGAUGUCCAUUUCGAGGGACCCACCCAUGGAGGCAACCGCUUCCCGCAGCCGCAAUGCUGAUUCGGCCGCCAGCGCGGCCUCCAGCUCAAGGCCUUGAGCGACACCGUCGUGUAGCAUCUUCGCCGUCACCACCCCUUUUUUUCCCCCUUGAUGCUGGCCUCGAUGGGUUUGACAGGUUAAAACCACAAACCAGCUGACCCCCGCUUGCUUCAUCCGGGUCCACGCAGGUCGGGGUCCAACCCGCGCUAGGAACCGGAAUGACAGGUCCAGCAGGGUUGGGUGCGGGCUGGUUCCCGGUUUCCCUGAACCCAUGAACAGGGCUACUUGUGGUUCUCUUUCCAGAGUCCCCUUUUGCAGCUAAUUUGUACCUUCUCUCCCUUGGUUGACCUGGUGCCCUUUUCAGAAGUGGAGGCCACAACAUUAACUUGAAGCCACUGUUUACUAUCUGUCAUUGGCUUCACAGACUUUUCAUAGGCUUUCUUGAACUUUGCCACAAAAUAGUAGUCAUGAACACAGUCUUCAAUAUUACCUCAAAUUGAGGUUAUAAUACACAAGGCAUGUGUACAUGGCAGACCAUAACUUGCCAGCGCCUACAG
RNAcentral lists this long non-coding RNA (1978 nucleotides) under Setaria italica (foxtail millet). RNAcentral's name for it is "long non-coding RNA (SITA_LNC006360)". Lineage: Eukaryota; Viridiplantae; Streptophyta; Magnoliopsida; Poales; Poaceae. The record is from RNAcentral.